AUUGAACGCUGGCGGCAGGCCUAACACAUGCAAGUCGAGCGGAUGACGGGAGCUUGCUCCUUGAUUCAGCGGCGGACGGGUGAGUAAUGCCUAGGAAUCUGCCUGGUAGUGGGGGACAACGUUUCGAAAGGAACGCUAAUACCGCAUACGUCCUACGGGAGAAAGCAGGGGACCUUCGGGCCUUGCGCUAUCAGAUGAGCCUAGGUCGGAUUAGCUUGUUGGUGAGGUAAUGGCUCACCAAGGCGACGAUCCGUAACUGGUCUGAGAGGAUGAUCAGUCACACUGGAACUGAGACACGGUCCAGACUCCUACGGGAGGCAGCAGUGGGAAAUAUUGGACAAUGGGCGAAAGCCUGAUCCAGCCAUGCCGCGUGUGUGAAGAAGGUCUUCGGAUUGUAAAGCACUUUAAGUUGGGAGGAAGGGUUGUAGAUUAAUACCCUGCAAUUUUGACGUUACCGACAGAAUAAGCACCGGCUAACUCUGUG
This 484-nucleotide ribosomal RNA is filed under the name uncultured bacterium. RNAcentral describes it as "partial 16S ribosomal RNA". It matches the Rfam family "Bacterial small subunit ribosomal RNA", at positions 30 to 507 of the family's 1533-position model. The record is from RNAcentral.